UACUCGUCUCCCUCACGUCUCGCAUGGGUGCAGUGGGGAGCUGCGGGGCUUCCCGCCUCCCCUCCAACCCAGCAUGGGGGGGCAGGUUGCUAAGUGUCCCGAGAGAAAUGCAGGUCCGCUCCGUGCUCUCCCCUCCCCCCACCUCAUAGCCAUCAGUCCCCCAGGACCUUGCCCAUGUCCUCCCCCACUUCCAGGGUGCAGUCCCCGAUUCCCUCCCCCAGUGCCCUCCUAAAGCCCAGUGAGCCCCC
Non-coding RNA from Pelobates cultripes (western spadefoot toad), 248 nucleotides. Lineage: Eukaryota; Metazoa; Chordata; Amphibia; Anura; Pelobatidae. The record is from the annotation of a GenBank genome assembly.